RNAcentral lists this ribosomal RNA (408 nucleotides) under Bifurcia curvata. RNAcentral's name for it is "partial 16S ribosomal RNA". The record is from RNAcentral. Lineage: Eukaryota; Metazoa; Arthropoda; Arachnida; Araneae; Linyphiidae.
AUCUUUAUAAAUAAAAUCUGCUCAAUGAAUUUUAAAUAGCCGCAGAAUUUUAACUGUGCUAAGGUAGCAUAAUCAUUUACCUUUUAAUUAAAGGUCUGUAUGAAUGAUUUUACACUUAAAUUAUUUUUUUAUUAAUUUAUAUUUAAAUUAAAUUAAGAAUAAAAAUGUUCUUACUUAAUAAAAAGACGACAAGACCCUAUUGAACUUAACUCAAGUUAAGCUGGGGAAGCUAAUUAAAUAUAAUUUUAAUUUCUAAAUUUAAAUAAGUUUCUAGAAAUUCUAAAUGAACAAGUUACCAUAGGGAUAACAGCGUAAUAAUUUUUUAAAGCUCUUAUUAAAAAGAAAGAUUACGACCUCGAUGUUGAAUUAAAUUAACUUUAAAACGCAAUAGUAUAAAAGUAGGUCUGU